UUCCCUCCUGGGAAGUCCUCGUGUUGCAAAAGUUAUAGCCGUUUUACUUUUUCAUAACACUUUUUUGCAAAACAUGUCAAAAUUUAUGUUUUUGAAUUUUCCUAACUAAUAGAUGUAGUAACAUAAAUACAUCUCGAAGGAUUUUAAUUUUUGAAGUUUUUAUCAUUUUCUUUUCUUUUUUUCAAAACUAAAAUGGCGAUACGAGGGGGGGGAGCAUAAUGGACGAAGGCGGGGGUAACAUGUCGGAUGCGAUCAUACCAGCACUAAAGCACCGGAUCCCAUCAGAACUCCGAAGUUAAGCGUGCUUGGGCGAGAGUAGUACUAGGAUGGG
RNAcentral lists this ribosomal RNA (331 nucleotides) under Hordeum muticum. Lineage: Eukaryota; Viridiplantae; Streptophyta; Magnoliopsida; Poales; Poaceae. The record is from RNAcentral.